AAUCACCAGUCACAGGUAAUCUACUCAACUAGCCAAUCACCAAUCACAGGUAAUCUACUCAACUAGCCAAUCACCAAUCACGGGUAAUCUACUCAACUAGCCAAUCACCAACAGGUAAUCUACUCAACUAGCCAAUCACCAAUCACAGGUAAUCUACUCAACUAGCCAAUCACCAAUCACAGGUAAUCUACUCAACUAGCCAAUCACAGAUAAUCUACUCAACUAGCCAAUCACCAAUCACGGGUAAUCUACUCAACUAGCCAAUCACCAAUCACAGGUAAUCUACUCAACUAGCCAAUCACCAAUCACAGGUAAUCUACUCAAUUAGCCAAUCACAGGUAAUCUACUCAAUUAGCCAAUCACCAAUCACAGGUAAUCUACUCAAUUAGCCAAUCACCAAUCACAGGUAAUCUACUCAAUUAGCCAAUCACCAAUCACAGGUAAUCUACUCAACUAGCCAAUCACCAGUCACAGGUAAUCUACUCAACUAGCCAAUCACCAA
This 502-nucleotide long non-coding RNA is filed under the name Salmo salar (Atlantic salmon). RNAcentral's name for it is "lncRNA (ENSSSAG00000093891.1)". The record is from RNAcentral. Lineage: Eukaryota; Metazoa; Chordata; Actinopteri; Salmoniformes; Salmonidae.